Molecule: unclassified non-coding RNA, 421 nt
Filed under: soil metagenome
Description: partial contains 5.8S ribosomal RNA, internal transcribed spacer 2, and large subunit ribosomal RNA
Rfam family: 5.8S ribosomal RNA (bases 1-120)
Source: RNAcentral
GAUGAAGAACGUAGCGAAAUGCGAUACGUAAUGUGAAUUGCAGAAUUCAGUGAAUCAUCGAAUCUUUGAACGCAUAUUGCGCUCUUUGGUAUUCCGAAGAGCAUGCUUGUUUGAGUAUCAGUAAACACCUCAACCUCUUCUUGAUUUUUCAAAAGGAGGGUGGACUUGAGCUAUCCCAACAACCUUUACCGGUCGGCGGGCGGCUUGAAAUGCAGGUGCAGCUGGACUUUUAUCUGAGCUAAAAGCAUAUCUAUUUAGUCCUCGUCAAACAGGAUUAUUACUUUUGCUGCAGCUAACAUAAAGGAUAAUUGUCCUCUUUGCUGACUGAUGCAGGAUUUUACGACACUUUAUGUGUUGUUCAACGCGAUCUCAAAUCAAGUAAGACUACCCGCUGAACUUAAGCAUAUCAAUAAGCGGAGGA